This is a long non-coding RNA of Triticum urartu, 2351 nucleotides long. RefSeq lists it as uncharacterized. The record is from RefSeq and is a predicted model, not a curated record. Lineage: Eukaryota; Viridiplantae; Streptophyta; Magnoliopsida; Poales; Poaceae.
AGAAAAAAAAACUAUCCGCACGCACGACCGUGCCUCCCGAUCCCAUCUCAACCUCCAGCCCGCCGCCGCCUCCUCUCACGUGCCGCCCCGCCUCACCGUGCGCCGCCGGCCGCCGCCGCGCGCCGCCGCCGUCGCCUACCUCGCCGGUGCGCCUACCCCUACCCCAGGUGCCCCCACACCCGCGGCCUUCCCCUGUCGGUGGCCCGCGGCCUUCCGCCGCCAGCGACGCUCGACGCCGCGGCCGUUGGUGGAUCCGCCGGGUCUCCUCCAUGCUGCUUCCACCUCGACAAUGGUUUCUCCAACCACGCCGGCUUCGCCACCAGCCACUCCUUCCCCCACCAACAGGCCGCCCUCCAAGUGGACCCCCUUCUCCGGUAAGAUCCCCUCCCAGAGCAGGACGGCAAGUACGACCCAGCCCCACCCGCGCACGCCGCCGCCCCAUCCGUCGUGGCGCCACCUUCCCCCUUCUCUUGUAGAGCAGGCGACAAGUCCAUCUGUCAUGGUACUGCCUCACCCAUCCCCUGUAGAGCAGGCAACAACAGAGCUCCUAGCCAAAUAGUUCAUGAAUUCUUUUGUGUGAGAUCAAUUUUAUUGAUUGUUUCAAAUGUAGCAGAAAGAGACCAUUACAUGGAUAUGAAUGGAGGUAAUUUUAUAAUGCAAGAUUAGAGAUGGAAUUUACUUUGCAUAGUCUGUCACAAGAUAAAGGAGGCAGUGGAUGGGAGUGAUACAACCGGAGCUGUUGCAGUACUGGCAGGUUACAGAAAGCAUGUAAGAAAAAAGUUCUUUCCUUUCUCUAAUUGACUUUGCAUUAUCCAAAAUGAUUAGCCGAUGACAUGAGGGAGAGGGGGAUAGACCCCUUUGGCUACUGCACUAAGGUUAUGCCUACAAAUGUGCUACUCAUAUUCCACUUUUAGAUGACAAGCAGCUUCAGAAUUCAGAUCCUGUUGAUUUGCAUUUCAGAUCAUCUUGCUCCAACUUGGUAGUAAACGACCAUUUUUGGUAUUCACAUAUAGCAGUUCUUUGGUUCUUCCAUUUGUACAUGGCCUUUCAAUUUUCCCAUCUGCUAACAGAAGGAAAAAGGCAGAUAGUUUGUACACUUGUUUAUUCACCUAGAUGUUCUACAGCAAAAAAAGAGCAUGAUAAACACCAUCUGUUGGUAGUCUUUCUAUUUGUCCUUAGCUAUUUGCAUUCUACUUAUGUUAGCUCAGCUAGGUCUUGAUCGUAACAAACACUUGCAAAUAUAUGUCUCUUGUGUACAAAAAUAUGUGCUCUAGAAGACAAUGGGGAUAGUGAUCACAGUAAUUUAAUCUGCUAUUUAUUGUAUAAUAUUUCUAUUCAGAAGAAGAGAUAGUUAUAUGCUUUACUGCAGUUUUAAUAUCUGAUGAGUUGAGAAAAAAAUUAUUAGUCUUCCUUUAUAGAGGUAUGUUGCCUUGCUGAGGCUGCUCUGCUUUUGCUAUAUUUGCUGCUCUUGGCUAUACUAUUGUUCCGUAUAUAUAGAAUCGGAGAAGAGAGCAGCAGCCUAUUACUACUAAUUUCGUUCAAGCUGCUACUUGCUUACUGUUACACAUCUACACAGGCAAGGCUGCUGCUUGCUGAUUGCAAUCCAUUCACGAUAUGUAGAUAUGUAUGCUUCUGCUAGGUACUUGCGAACAGGGAGACAACGAAUGGACGCUUCAGUGGUAGCCGGCCGGUGGCCACGCAUUGGCAGCCACCGCUUAGAUACAUAACUCCAGCCAGCUAUGGUUGAGAAUGGCAAGAAGAUGCUUAUUCUCCACGGUACAAAGUGCUAUUGGUGCAGUUUUGAACUCCGUGCUGACAGAUCAUUCUCACCUGAUGCACGAUCGCUAUGGAAGUGCGCCAACAAUAACAACAUCAUCAAGCCAUUUGAGUGUAGUGGUGGAACUCCCUGGAGGUCGCCGGAGAAGAGGAAGAAUGGCGAAAGGGGAAGCAAUGGGUUGCGGCGGGCGGACAGGCACGGGCGAAGAGGUGGGUCCCGACGAUGGGCGGACGGGCACGUGCGAAGAAGUGGUGGGUCCCGCGCUUACUGGACAAGUGAUGGGUCCCGCGCUUAAGUGGAUAAGUUGUGAGUCCAGCCCAUAACAGCUAAUGAGGGCAUCAGUUCAGCUUUAAGGGCCAUGUCAUGUGUGGGCUAUUUACUCGCUCAAAAGUGUCGCCCAAAAGUCAUUCUGUCGAACAACGUCGCACUCCAUCCAAUUCCCACGAAAGAUGUCGCAUAGGAGCUAUUCACCCAUAGUUGUACUGUACAGACCAAAUGUUCUGCUGUUCAUAUACAUGAACAGGUGAGUUGUUCUCACUCUAUGACCUUGUCCCAUUUAAGCUUGAGAUUCGAA